UACUGUUUCACACUCCUCCUCUCUACAUACAUCUGAUGAUUAUAGGACUGAUUGCUUAUGGGUGGCUGGUGUAAGUUUCCUCUCCUAUUGCAUAAGCAAGUUUGUUUCCUCAUUAGGUCUGAAUGGGAAAGCUGAUGGGGAGCUUUGGGUACAUGGCUAAAUGGUAAGUCUUUGCUUGGAAUCUCCUAAACACCUGGAUUCUGAUACAAUGGGCCUAUCCUUUGCCCAGGAAUCUCCAUUUCUCUAGAAGAGAAUUUUAUUUUUGUUUCUUCACUUAGAGAUAAAGACUGGACUGCCAGUCUCUUGGAACCCAUCAUCUCUGGUUCUAAAGCCCUUGAGUCUCUCCAGGGAGACUUCUUCCCUGGCCCCCUGUAUCCUUCUUUUGCAUGUAUCUUAGCCUAGCUCCCUUCACUUGACUUCUCCCAGGAUAAUAUUCUAAUCCCACUUUUCUCCUCCCAGAAGCAUAUUAAAAGCUCUCAUCCACUGCAGACCAAUCCCUGUAUUCAUUUCUUUUUGGAUAUAUGCUUAAUGGUAAUAAGUGUGUGUUGGGGGGAAUAUGGUUUUAGUCUACUCUCUUGAAAUGGAAUCUUCUAGCUUAUUCAUCUUCUACAUAACAGCUAAACUGAGCGUUUGCCAAAAUUACAGCAUUUGUCUUUUAGUUUAUUUUCUGUUGCAAUAAUUGAAUACUUGAGUCUGGAUAACUUAUAAAGAAAAAGAAAAGAGGUUUAUUUUGGUUCAUGAUUUUGGAGGUUCAAUAGAAUGGUGCUUCAUGGAGAUAUAAAUUAGAAUCUUUUAACUUAUGCUUCCAACUAGCUACUGCGG
This 822-nucleotide long non-coding RNA is filed under the name Marmota monax (woodchuck). The record is from RNAcentral. Lineage: Eukaryota; Metazoa; Chordata; Mammalia; Rodentia; Sciuridae.